GACGAACGCUGGCGGCGUGCUUAACACAUGCAAGUCGAACGGAAAGGCCCAGCUUGCUGGGUGCUCGAGUGGCGAACGGGGGAGUAACACGCGGGUGUACCGCCCCCUACACCGGGAUAAGCCUUGGAAACUGGGGCUAAUAUCGGAGAGGACAAUCGCUUAGUGUUGGUUGUGGUAGGUUUUUUUGGUCGGUUGGGGAUGGGCGCGCGGCCUAUCAGCUUGUUGGUGGGGUAGUGGCUUACCAAGGCGUCGACGGGUAGCCGGCCUGAGAGGGUGACCGGCCACAUUGGGACUGAGAUACGGCCCAGACUCCUACGGGAGGCAGCAGUGGGGAAUAUUGCACAAUGGGCGCAAGCCUGAUGCAGCAACGCCGCGUGGGGGAUGACGGCCUUCGGGUUGUAAACCUCUUUCGCCUGGGACGAAGCUUUAGUGACGGUACCUGGAAAAGAAGCACCGGCUAACUACGUG
This 468-nucleotide ribosomal RNA is filed under the name uncultured bacterium. Its description in RNAcentral is "partial 16S ribosomal RNA". It matches the Rfam family "Bacterial small subunit ribosomal RNA", at positions 28 to 507 of the family's 1533-position model. The record is from RNAcentral.